RNAcentral lists this ribosomal RNA (479 nucleotides) under Peptostreptococcaceae bacterium canine oral taxon 071. RNAcentral describes it as "bacterial SSU rRNA". It matches the Rfam family "Bacterial small subunit ribosomal RNA", at positions 9 to 467 of the family's 1533-position model. The record is from RNAcentral. Lineage: Bacteria; Bacillati; Bacillota; Clostridia; Peptostreptococcales; Peptostreptococcaceae.
GAGUUUGAUUCUGGCUCAGGAUGAACGCUGGCGGCGUGCUUAACACAUGCAAGUCGAACGAAGCGAGAAGAAAGAAGUUUUUCGAAAUGGAUUUUUUCUUUGCUUAGUGGCGGACGGGUGCGUAACACGUAGGUAACCUGCCCUGUGCUUGGGAAUAACUCCGGGAAACCGGUGCUAAUGCCGAAUAAUAUCGCCUGUCGGCAUCGAGAGGCGAUCAAAGAAUGUUGGCACAGGAUGGGCCUGCGCCGGAUUAGCUGGUUGGUGAGGUAACGGCUCACCAAGGCGACGAUCCGUAGCCGACCUGAGAGGGUGAUCGGCCACACUGGAACUGAGACACGGUCCAGACUCCUACGGGAGGCAGCAGUGGGGAAUAUUGCACAAUGGGGGAAACCCUGAUGCAGCAACGCCGCGUGAGCGAUGAAGGCUUUCGAGUCGUAAAGCUCUGUCCUAUGGGAAGAUGAUGACGUACCUAGAGNGCC